Molecule: ribosomal RNA, 700 nt
Filed under: uncultured bacterium
Lineage: Bacteria
Description: bacterial SSU rRNA
Rfam family: Bacterial small subunit ribosomal RNA
Source: RNAcentral
AGUGGCGGACGGGUGAGUAACACGUGUGAAUUUACCUUUAGGAGGGGGACAACAAUUGGAAACGAUUGCUAAUACCCCAUAUGCUCUAGAGUGAAACGGAUUUUUCCGCCUAAAGAAAAGCUCGCGGCUGAUUAGCUUGUUGGUAAGGUAAUGGCUUACCAAGGCGACGAUCAGUAUCUGGUUUGAGAGGACGAUCAGACACACUGGAACUGAGACACGGUCCAGACUCCUACGGGAGGCAGCAGUGGGGAAUUUUCCGCAAUGGGCGAAAGCCUGACGGAGCAAUACCGCGUGAGGGAAGACGGCCUAUGGGUUGUAAACCUCUUUUUUCAGGGAGGAACAAAAUGACGUGUACCUGAAGAAUAAGCAUCGGCUAACUCCGUGCCAGCAGCCGCGGUAAGACGGAGGAUGCAAGUGUUAUCCGGAAUCACUGGGCGUAAAGCGUCUGUAGGUGGUUUGUUAAGUCAACUGUUAAAUCUUGAGGCUCAACUUCAAAUCAGCAGUCGAAACUAUCAGACUAGAGUAUAGUAGGGGUAAAGGGAAUUUCCAGUGGAGCGGUGAAAUGCGUAGAUAUUGGAAAGAACACCGAUGGCGAAGGCACUUUACUGGGCUAUUACUAACACUCAGAGACGAAAGCUAGGGUAGCAAAUGGGAUUAGAUACCCCAGUAGUCCUAGCUGUAAACAAUGGAUACUAGAUGU